AUUCCCCCAGUAGCGGCGAGCGAACGGGGAGCAGCCCAGAGUCUGAAUCAGCUUGUGUGUUAGUGGAACGGUCUGGAAAGUCCGACGGUACAGGGUGAUAGUCCCGUACACCAAAAUGCACAGGUUGUGAACUCGAAGAGUAGGGCGGGACACGUGGUAUCCUGUCUGAAUAUGGGGGGACCAUCCUCCAAGGCUAAAUACUCCUGACUGACCGAUAGUGAACCAGUACCGUGAGGGAAAGGCGAAAAGAACCCCGGCGAGGGGAGUGAAAAAGAACCUGAAACCGUGUACGUACAAGCAGUGGGAGCACCUUCGGGUGUGACUGCGUACCUUUUGUAUAAUGGGUCAGCGACUUAUAUUCUGUAGCAAGGUUAACCGUAUAGGGGAGCCGCAGGGAAACCGAGUCUUAACUGGGCGUUAAGUUGCAGGGUAUAGACCC
This 439-nucleotide ribosomal RNA is filed under the name Klebsiella quasipneumoniae subsp. similipneumoniae. RNAcentral describes it as "partial 23S ribosomal RNA". It matches the Rfam family "Bacterial large subunit ribosomal RNA", at positions 234 to 716 of the family's 2925-position model. Lineage: Bacteria; Pseudomonadati; Pseudomonadota; Gammaproteobacteria; Enterobacterales; Enterobacteriaceae. The record is from RNAcentral.